This 2904-nucleotide ribosomal RNA is filed under the name Escherichia coli. Its description in RNAcentral is "23S ribosomal RNA". It matches the Rfam family "Bacterial large subunit ribosomal RNA". Lineage: Bacteria; Pseudomonadati; Pseudomonadota; Gammaproteobacteria; Enterobacterales; Enterobacteriaceae. The record is from RNAcentral.
GGUUAAGUGACUAAGCGUACACGGUGGAUGCCCUGGCAGUCAGAGGCGAUGAAGGACGUGCUAAUCUGCGAUAAGCGUCGGUAAGGUGAUAUGAACCGUUAUAACCGGCGAUUUCCGAAUGGGGAAACCCAGUGUGUUUCGACACACUAUCAUUAACUGAAUCCAUAGGUUAAUGAGGCGAACCGGGGGAACUGAAACAUCUAAGUACCCCGAGGAAAAGAAAUCAACCGAGAUUCCCCCAGUAGCGGCGAGCGAACGGGGAGCAGCCCAGAGCCUGAAUCAGUGUGUGUGUUAGUGGAAGCGUCUGGAAAGGCGCGCGAUACAGGGUGACAGCCCCGUACACAAAAAUGCACAUACUGUGAGCUCGAUGAGUAGGGCGGGACACGUGGUAUCCUGUCUGAAUAUGGGGGGACCAUCCUCCAAGGCUAAAUACUCCUGACUGACCGAUAGUGAACCAGUACCGUGAGGGAAAGGCGAAAAGAACCCCGGCGAGGGGAGUGAAAAAGAACCUGAAACCGUGUACGUACAAGCAGUGGGAGCACGCUUAGGCGUGUGACUGCGUACCUUUUGUAUAAUGGGUCAGCGACUUAUAUUCUGUAGCAAGGUUAACCGAAUAGGGGAGCCGAAGGGAAACCGAGUCUUAACUGGGCGUUAAGUUGCAGGGUAUAGACCCGAAACCCGGUGAUCUAGCCAUGGGCAGGUUGAAGGUUGGGUAACACUAACUGGAGGACCGAACCGACUAAUGUUGAAAAAUUAGCGGAUGACUUGUGGCUGGGGGUGAAAGGCCAAUCAAACCGGGAGAUAGCUGGUUCUCCCCGAAAGCUAUUUAGGUAGCGCCUCGUGAAUUCAUCUCCGGGGGUAGAGCACUGUUUCGGCAAGGGGGUCAUCCCGACUUACCAACCCGAUGCAAACUGCGAAUACCGGAGAAUGUUAUCACGGGAGACACACGGCGGGUGCUAACGUCCGUCGUGAAGAGGGAAACAACCCAGACCGCCAGCUAAGGUCCCAAAGUCAUGGUUAAGUGGGAAACGAUGUGGGAAGGCCCAGACAGCCAGGAUGUUGGCUUAGAAGCAGCCAUCAUUUAAAGAAAGCGUAAUAGCUCACUGGUCGAGUCGGCCUGCGCGGAAGAUGUAACGGGGCUAAACCAUGCACCGAAGCUGCGGCAGCGACGCUGAUGCGUUGUUGGGUAGGGGAGCGUUCUGUAAGCCUGCGAAGGUGUGCUGUGAGGCAUGCUGGAGGUAUCAGAAGUGCGAAUGCUGACAUAAGUAACGAUAAAGCGGGUGAAAAGCCCGCUCGCCGGAAGACCAAGGGUUCCUGUCCAACGUUAAUCGGGGCAGGGUGAGUCGACCCCUAAGGCGAGGCCGAAAGGCGUAGUCGAUGGGAAACAGGUUAAUAUUCCUGUACUUGGUGUUACUGCGAAGGGGGGACGGAGAAGGCUAUGUUGGCCGGGCGACGGUUGUCCCGGUUUAAGCGUGUAGGCUGGUUUUCCAGGCAAAUCCGGAAAAUCAAGGCUGAGGCGUGAUGACGAGGCACUACGGUGCUGAAGCAACAAAUGCCCUGCUUCCAGGAAAAGCCUCUAAGCAUCAGGUAACAUCAAAUCGUACCCCAAACCGACACAGGUGGUCAGGUAGAGAAUACCAAGGCGCUUGAGAGAACUCGGGUGAAGGAACUAGGCAAAAUGGUGCCGUAACUUCGGGAGAAGGCACGCUGAUAUGUAGGUGAAGCGACUUGCUCGUGGAGCUGAAAUCAGUCGAAGAUACCAGCUGGCUGCAACUGUUUAUUAAAAACACAGCACUGUGCAAACACGAAAGUGGACGUAUACGGUGUGACGCCUGCCCGGUGCCGGAAGGUUAAUUGAUGGGGUCAGCGCAAGCGAAGCUCUUGAUCGAAGCCCCGGUAAACGGCGGCCGUAACUAUAACGGUCCUAAGGUAGCGAAAUUCCUUGUCGGGUAAGUUCCGACCUGCACGAAUGGCGUAAUGAUGGCCAGGCUGUCUCCACCCGAGACUCAGUGAAAUUGAACUCGCUGUGAAGAUGCAGUGUACCCGCGGCAAGACGGAAAGACCCCGUGAACCUUUACUAUAGCUUGACACUGAACAUUGAGCCUUGAUGUGUAGGAUAGGUGGGAGGCUUUGAAGUGUGGACGCCAGUCUGCAUGGAGCCGACCUUGAAAUACCACCCUUUAAUGUUUGAUGUUCUAACGUUGACCCGUGAUCCGGGUUGCGGACAGUGUCUGGUGGGUAGUUUGACUGGGGCGGUCUCCUCCUAAAGAGUAACGGAGGAGCACGAAGGUUGGCUAAUCCUGGUCGGACAUCAGGAGGUUAGUGCAAUGGCAUAAGCCAGCUUGACUGCGAGCGUGACGGCGCGAGCAGGUGCGAAAGCAGGUCAUAGUGAUCCGGUGGUUCUGAAUGGAAGGGCCAUCGCUCAACGGAUAAAAGGUACUCCGGGGAUAACAGGCUGAUACCGCCCAAGAGUUCAUAUCGACGGCGGUGUUUGGCACCUCGAUGUCGGCUCAUCACAUCCUGGGGCUGAAGUAGGUCCCAAGGGUAUGGCUGUUCGCCAUUUAAAGUGGUACGCGAGCUGGGUUUAGAACGUCGUGAGACAGUUCGGUCCCUAUCUGCCGUGGGCGCUGGAGAACUGAGGGGGGCUGCUCCUAGUACGAGAGGACCGGAGUGGACGCAUCACUGGUGUUCGGGUUGUCAUGCCAAUGGCACUGCCCGGUAGCUAAAUGCGGAAGAGAUAAGUGCUGAAAGCAUCUAAGCACGAAACUUGCCCCGAGAUGAGUUCUCCCUGACUCCUUGAGAGUCCUGAAGGAACGUUGAAGACGACGACGUUGAUAGGCCGGGUGUGUAAGCGCAGCGAUGCGUUGAGCUAACCGGUACUAAUGAACCGUGAGGCUUAACCUU